CAUUUUGUAACUUGUAAUUUUGCAAAAGUUAAGUUAACCCCUCUGCAUAUGAUUUUAAAAUAAAUGGUUAAAUACAAGGUUGUGAUAAGAUAAUGGUGUUUCCUUUCACUGGUCUGUGUCAGUAAAUGUCAUCAGACGUGUGGAGUCAUAACAGACAAAGAAGUGGGAGUGUUGAUGUUUCAUACGUCAGAUAAAAAGAGCCACAAAAUGAUCUCUGGUUAACAGCACUUUUAAAAGUGUCACCAACUUCCAUCUAAACGCUUGACAUCAUUUUCCUGUCUAAAAAUUGUUUUUUUGUUUCUUAAAAUAUAUAACACUUUUUUUUAAUUCAAUAUUGUCACUAUGUAUUCACCUCAACAGGUCAAAAUGUUUCCUGUCUGUGUUUUUGAAGUGGUGCCGUGGUGUCUGAGUGGAAGAUUCUAGACCUAAAUGAGAAGCCCACACUCGGGUGUCAAAACCAGACCGUAUUUAAACACACCUGCAAACAUCAUGACGUGCUGAAAGUUGGAUCCGAUCUUGUUCUUACGGCCCAGGUUGAGCAGGAAGGACAACGGGUAGAUGUUCGCUGCUCUGCCCACAAACACUGCCACCUGGGUCACGCAGGAAGGUUAAGGACUAACAAAAAAUAAAGACACGAGUCAAAGGAUACAAAGGCUCCGAUGAUGAACAGAGGGUUGAACACGUGCGACUGGAAGGAGAAGAGAGUCAGACCCAUGUAGGAGAAGAUGAAGUUCUCUGCCAGGAAGUUGAGCACCUCAAAUAGCUGAUGGAACUGGAGGAACAAGUGAAAAGAUAUGAAAGCGGUCAUGACCCCGGUGGCCACUCCAAGAGCGAAGGACCCGCUGAAGACCCCCAGGAAGAUGCCAAAGGACUUCAACAUGGCCAUG
Molecule: long non-coding RNA, 887 nt
Organism: Cynoglossus semilaevis (tongue sole)
Lineage: Eukaryota; Metazoa; Chordata; Actinopteri; Pleuronectiformes; Cynoglossidae
Exons: 3
Source: RefSeq, a predicted model, not a curated record